RNAcentral lists this ribosomal RNA (481 nucleotides) under uncultured bacterium. RNAcentral describes it as "bacterial SSU rRNA". It matches the Rfam family "Bacterial small subunit ribosomal RNA", at positions 8 to 521 of the family's 1533-position model. The record is from RNAcentral.
AGAGUUUGAUCCUGGCUCAGAGUGAACGCUGGCGGCGUGCCUAAUACAUGCAAGUCGAACGAUGAAGCUCUAGCUUGCUAGAGUGGAUUAGUGGCGCACGGGUGAGUAAUGCAUAGAUAACAUGCCCUUUAGUCUAGGAUAGCCAUUGGAAACGAUGAUUAAUACUGGAUACUCCUUACGAGGGAAAGUUUUUCGCUAAAGGAUUGGUCUAUGUCCUAUCAGCUUGUUGGUGAGGUAAUGGCUCACCAAGGCUAUGACGGGUAUCCGGCCUGAGAGGGUGAACGGACACACUGGAACUGAGACACGGUCCAGACUCCUACGGGAGGCAGCAGUAGGGAAUAUUGCUCAAUGGGGGAAACCCUGAAGCAGCAACGCCGCGUGGAGGAUGAAGGUUUUCGGAUUGUAAACUCCUUUUGUUAGAGAAGAUAAUGACGGUAUCUAACGAAUAAGCACCGGCUAACUCCGUGCCAGCAGCCGCGGU